This 1056-nucleotide ribosomal RNA is filed under the name Triticum aestivum (bread wheat). RNAcentral describes it as "partial small subunit ribosomal RNA". The record is from RNAcentral. Lineage: Eukaryota; Viridiplantae; Streptophyta; Magnoliopsida; Poales; Poaceae.
AUGCCGGCCCCGUCCUUGCCUCGAGGUCGCAGCCACCGCGUCGUCCACAUCCCGUCACCUCGGGUCGAUCAGCGCCGAAGCCCUCGCAACGAGUCGCUCACCUUCCUGUUGAUCCGCCUCGACGUGAACUACAUGACGCUCUCCAACCUCGACGACCCGUGCCUCCUCCGCUACCUCUUCGUGUUCACAGGUGCCGUCGACGUCGACGCCCUCAGGACGGCGCUGUCCAGAGUCCUCGUCGACUACUACCCGCUCGCCGGCAGGCUCGGGCCCGGGGACGACGGCAAGCUUGUCGUCGUUUGCAACGCGGAGGGGGCGCUUUUCGGGGAGGGAUUCCUGCCGGGGCUCACCGCUCGCGAGUUCCUCGAGGGGUCGGCCACGCCUCACGAAUCCUGGAGGAAGCUGCUCCGCGGCGGAGCCGAGCUACAGAGCUUCAUUGGCGUGCCCACUCUUGUCGUCCAAGUGACUCGCCUCGGCUGCGGCGGCACCAUCCUCUGCACGGCCAUCAGCCACUGCCUCUGCGACGGCAUCGGCGCCGCACAGUUUCUCCAUGCCUGGGCGCGCGUCGCCAGGUUCGAAGCCGCCGACCAUCACGUCGCGCCCUUCCACGACCGCGGCGUCCUGAGGCCGCGCUGCCCCCCGCAUGUCGCGUUCGAGCACCAGGAAUACGCCAACUCCCUCCCCGGCGGCGAUGAACUGGCGGCAGCGUCCAGCCUCUUCGUCGGACCGCUGGCGCGGGUGUCUCUGACCUUCACGGGGGCACACGUCCAGCGCCUCAAGGACCUGUGCGCACCGUGGCUCGAGGAGGGCACAUCCUUCGAGGUGCUCGCGGCGCACGUCUGGCGCGCGUGGGUGCGGUCCCUCAGCGCGCCGAGCGACCUCCGCGUGAAACUCCUCUUCACCGUUGACAUCCGCCGUCGGGUGCACCCGGGCCUCCCCGGAGGGUACUACGGCAACGGCUUCGUGCUCGCGUGCGCCGAGUCCAUGGCUGGGCAGCUGGCGGCGCCAUCCGGCGCGCACCACGCGGCGAGGCUGGUGCGGGCGGCCAAGAGAUGA